UAAGAUGUCAACUUUUAAAAAGUUAAUUAUUUUACUUUUGGUGUUCUCUGUCAACACAGUGCUCGUUAUAAGCGACUGCAGCGUCCUUGACAAGUACUUGUACAUACGACAUAAAGAAACCCGACUUGUUUUAGCUAGUAUUGGCUUUGACGUACAGUUGCAAACCUAUGACCCUAGUCCAGUCCAUCAGCAGUAUCAGCAAUGGAUAUUUCACCUUUCUCCUAGAACUGGAUUAUUUAUCGUUCACAUACAGUAUUCAACGGGAGCACUCGAUUUUGACAAGGAUACUUACGAACUGGCCCGGUAUGACGAAACUAACUCCAUUUAUCAAGACUGGUUUUUUAAUGCAGAUGGUACUAUUGUUAAUGGUGCUUUGUAUGGGCAUGCGAUUUCAAUAAACAGGACAGAGUUCGGUGAGAUCGACAAGAUUUAUCUGGCGCCCAUUGGAACACCGGGAGCAGAGCAGAUAUUCGAACUGCUUGAUGCGCAUGAUCUUGAAGAACAAUCCUUAUAGAAAAACGCCUUGUGAAAAUUUAUUAAUUAUAAUUACAUAGUAAACUGUAUUGUAAUAUUACAAAAUACUAAAUGACAUAAAAUAUACAAAAAUG
Molecule: long non-coding RNA, 608 nt
Organism: Zophobas morio
Lineage: Eukaryota; Metazoa; Arthropoda; Insecta; Coleoptera; Tenebrionidae
Exons: 3
Source: RefSeq, a predicted model, not a curated record